RNAcentral lists this ribosomal RNA (457 nucleotides) under uncultured bacterium. Its description in RNAcentral is "bacterial SSU rRNA". It matches the Rfam family "Bacterial small subunit ribosomal RNA", at positions 446 to 905 of the family's 1533-position model. The record is from RNAcentral.
GGGGACAAUACCCCCUAUGAUGACGGUACCGUUUGUAAGCUCCGGCUAACUCCGUGCCAGCAGCCGCGGUAAUACGGGGGGAGCAAGCGUUGUUCGGAUUUACUGGGCGUAAAGGGCGCGUAGGCGGCCAGCACAAGUCAGUUGUGAAAUCUCCGAGCUUAACUCGGAAAGGUCAACUGAUACUGUGCGGCUAGAGUGCGGAAGGGGCAACUGGAAUUCUUGGUGUAGCGGUGAAAUGCGUAGAUAUCAAGAGGAACACCUGCGGCGAAGGCGGGUUGCUGGGCCGACACUGACGCUGAGGCGCGAAAGCUAGGGGAGCGAACGGGAUUAGAUACCCCGGUAGUCCUAGCCUUAAACGAUGAAUGCUUGGUGUCUGGGGUUAUAAAGUCCCCGGGUGCCGUCGCUAACGCUUUAAGCAUUCCGCCUGGGGAGUACGGUCGCAAGACUGAAACUCAAA